CCCAGGGCAUAACUCAGUGAGUGUUCUG
Molecule: non-coding RNA, 28 nt
Filed under: Rattus norvegicus (Norway rat)
Lineage: Eukaryota; Metazoa; Chordata; Mammalia; Rodentia; Muridae
Source: RNAcentral